UAGGGAAUCUUCGGCAAUGGGGGCAACCCUGACCGAGCAACGCCGCGUGAGUGAAGAAGGUUUUCGGAUCGUAAAGCUCUGUUGUAAGUCAAGAACGGGUGUGAGAGUGGAAAGUUCACACUGUGACGGUAGCUUACCAGAAAGGGACGGCUAACUACGUGCCAGCAGCCGCGGUAAUACGUAGGUCCCGAGCGUUGUCCGGAUUUAUUGGGCGUAAAGCGAGCGCAGGCGGUUUGAUAAGUCUUGAA
RNAcentral lists this ribosomal RNA (248 nucleotides) under uncultured bacterium. RNAcentral's name for it is "partial 16S ribosomal RNA". It matches the Rfam family "Bacterial small subunit ribosomal RNA", at positions 355 to 594 of the family's 1533-position model. The record is from RNAcentral.